Molecule: long non-coding RNA, 549 nt
Filed under: Ovis aries (sheep)
Lineage: Eukaryota; Metazoa; Chordata; Mammalia; Artiodactyla; Bovidae
Description: lncRNA (ENSOARG00000026918.1)
Source: RNAcentral
GUAUUCGUUCGUCCUUACCAAUCUGUAACAUUCGUGAGCUGACCUUGUGCUGGGGACACCCCGGUGGCUGAGACAGCCCCAGUCUCCAUGCUACGGAGCUCACAGUUCAGUGAGGGACGUAGACGCAUCACCAGGGGACACAGGUUCGAUCCCUGGUCUGAGAAGAUUCCACAUGCCUCGGAUCAACUGAGCCCAUGUGCCACGACUACUGAGCCCACGCACUACAGCCUGUGCUCCACAACAAGAGAAGCCACCGCAAUGGGAAGCCUGAGCACCGCAACUAGAGCAGUCCCUGCUUACUGCAAUUGGAGGAAGCCCAUGAGCAGCAAUGAAGAGCCAGCACAGCCAAAAAUAAAUAAAAGUCAUUUCUUCACUGGACCAUUACCUGCCUCCCUGUUUAAAAUGACAGCCCCUCACCGUCAUUUUGGUGGUUGUUUUGGUGAUUGGUUACUUCCAAUCACCCUUACUCUGCUUUAUUUCUCCCCACAGUUCUCUUACUGUUUCACUAUUUACUAUAUUUGUUACCUUUCACACCCCACAAGAACAUGA